UACGUAGGGUGCAAGCGUUGUCCGGAAUUAUUGGGCGUAAAGAGCUCGUAGGCGGUUUGUUGCGUCGGCUGUGAAAUCCCGAGGCUCAACCUCGGGUCUGCAGUCGAUACGAGCAAACUAGAGUGUUGCAGGGGAGACUGGAAUUCCUGGUGUAGCGGUGAAAUGCGCAGAUAUCAGGAGGAACACCGGUGGCGAAGGUGGGUCUCUGGGCAACAACUGACGCUGAGGAGCGAAAGCGUGGGGAGCGAACAGG
This 253-nucleotide ribosomal RNA is filed under the name uncultured bacterium. Its description in RNAcentral is "partial 16S ribosomal RNA". It matches the Rfam family "Bacterial small subunit ribosomal RNA", at positions 524 to 776 of the family's 1533-position model. The record is from RNAcentral.